This 408-nucleotide long non-coding RNA is filed under the name Hordeum vulgare. Its description in RNAcentral is "long non-coding RNA (HVUL_LNC017120)". The record is from RNAcentral. Lineage: Eukaryota; Viridiplantae; Streptophyta; Magnoliopsida; Poales; Poaceae.
UUUACUGCAGGUACAUCCGAUCGAGCAGGGACUUGCACUCAUCCGAUCGUCACUAGAAGCCGCAUUGAUAAACACUAGAUAUAUCUUAAAUGGUUCCUGUGGAUAUUGUGGUCAUGAGUUAUGUGUGGUGUGCCAUCGCAGAGAUGAUUGUGUGUUUCUUGAAGGUCUGUCGGGCGCCAAGAAUUUGGAGUUGAUAGCUGACUACGUUAUGGUAUGCUUGCACUCUUUUCUAGUGGAUAUGCUCGCUGUUUUGCUAACAUUGUUUGUUGUUUUCUGUUCAUCCCGGUAUUAUUAAAUCAUACGCUUGAAGUUAGAGCUUCAAUUGUCUUUUAAUUCUUCACCUCGUCUAGGUUUACAGAAUGGAUAUGCUCGCUGUUUUGCUAACACUGUUUGUUGUUUUCUGUUCAC